This is a non-coding RNA of Oncorhynchus mykiss (rainbow trout), 555 nucleotides long. NCBI's taxonomy places the organism in Eukaryota, Metazoa, Chordata, Actinopteri, Salmoniformes, Salmonidae. The record is from RefSeq and is a predicted model, not a curated record.
ACUUUCGCAAGGCACUGUAUUUUGAUUGCCGUAUCACGAGUUGUUUUUGUUGUGUAGGUAAGCGGCCGUCAAGUAUUUGAGUUCUGUCCGGAUCUGGCUGAUGAUGACGAUGAGGAGGCUGAUGACAUAAAAUAUGUUGAGGACAAUGAUGACGUUGAGGUUGAAUAUGUUCACGAGUUCCAGGAUGUUGAUCUAGCCAGGUUUAUUCCAAAGGAAGUUGACAACACCGGAAUAACUGUUGCUGCAAUCGACAGAUUCACAGCCAAAUCAAAGCCAACAAAGGAAACGAAUGAUGACCAGCUGAACGGUGCUUGCGGAGGUGUGGAGGAGAACGGGCACGAUGGGGAAGACGAGACUCUCGACGACAAGGAAGCAGAGCCCGUGCCUGUGGACGAGAACCUUUUCACCGGCGAGGACCUGGACGAACUGGAUGAGGAACUCAACACACUGGACCUGGAUGACUGACAAUGAUGACUUCUAGUAGAACAGUGCCUCAUGGACUAUGAAUAUGAGAUGUCUAAAACAGAUUCACAAUAAAAUAUCCUGAUGCUCACA